Molecule: ribosomal RNA, 116 nt
Filed under: uncultured eukaryote
Lineage: Eukaryota
Description: partial small subunit ribosomal RNA
Rfam family: Bacterial small subunit ribosomal RNA
Source: RNAcentral
AUUGGCUUUACCCGAAGGCGUUUCGCUAACCGCAAGGAGGCAGGCGACCACGGUAGGGUCAGCGACUGGGGUGAAGUCGUAACAAGGUAGCCGUAGGUGAACCUGCAAAAGGAUCA